Molecule: ribosomal RNA, 219 nt
Filed under: Salmonella enterica subsp. enterica serovar Anatum
Lineage: Bacteria; Pseudomonadati; Pseudomonadota; Gammaproteobacteria; Enterobacterales; Enterobacteriaceae
Description: partial 23S ribosomal RNA
Rfam family: Bacterial large subunit ribosomal RNA
Source: RNAcentral
AGCCAUCAUUUAAAGAAAGCGUAAUAGCUCACUGGUCGAGUCGGCCUGCGCGGAAGAUGUAACGGGGCUAAACCAUGCACCGAAGCUGCGGCAGCGAACGUAUCACUUAAAGCGAUUCAGCGGGUUACGAUUGACGGAGCGAAGCGACGUCAAAGCGUAUACAAAGUCGAGUCGGUUUAAGGAUACGUUCGUUGGGUAGGGGAGCGUUCUGUAAGCCUG